AAUGAAAGUAACAGACCUGAUUUACUCUGCGGGCAGCCAGCUGACUACCUUGUUGAAGAGAAACAUUUCACAACGCUUGUAUGCUUCAUUGUUGUUUUGGGAGGUGCACCAAAUUGUCUACCCUCUUCUAAGAACAUCAAGUUUUUCACUUUAUUCUUACUUUUCACCUUUAAUUAUAUUUAUGGUUGCUUUGGAUGUAGAAUUUUAUACACUCAAGAAAAUGUUUUGGC
RNAcentral lists this non-coding RNA (230 nucleotides) under Pan troglodytes (chimpanzee). The record is from RNAcentral. RNAcentral also lists the same sequence under 1 other name. Lineage: Eukaryota; Metazoa; Chordata; Mammalia; Primates; Hominidae.